RNA transcript from Asparagus officinalis (garden asparagus), 2173 nucleotides. RefSeq lists it as uncharacterized. Lineage: Eukaryota; Viridiplantae; Streptophyta; Magnoliopsida; Asparagales; Asparagaceae. The transcript has 10 exons. The record is from RefSeq and is a predicted model, not a curated record.
CGCAAGCGAGUCGCUGGAGUACCUCUGCCAAACCGAACAGUGACGCUCGCUGGGAUGUCGACAUCAUCAUCUCACUCAUCUAAAUCAACGAGGAGCAAGCCUGGGAUUAAGCAUGAUAUCAGAAUUUCUUGUAAUAUACAUGGAUAUUGUACAUUCAUGGAUGAAAUCGCUCCACGGAUGAGGGCUGAACAUUGGAGGGCUUAUGGAUCCUCCAAUUUCAAAAAUUAUGUUAGUUUUGGUGCAAUUCCAGCAGACAAGGCUACGAUCAUGUUGCUUCUAGAUCAUCUGGAUUUAGCCACGGGGAAGUUUUUUUUCAAGGAUAGCCAAACUGGGACUCCACAGGCGUAUACUUUUGAUGUAAAUUGGGUGCUUAAACAUACCCGGUUUAAUGAUGAAGGGGAGAAACCCGAAGGCAACCGAGAUACGGAGAAUAGGAUAUGGAACACAUACUUCUCCAACAAACAACAAUUACAAUACAAGAGUGGCCGAGACUACCUUGAGGCCCUAUUGAAAAGAUUGGUUCGGUCAAGAAAGAGGACGGAUGUUUUUGAUUUUGUUAUGCUUCAAAUCCUCUAUCAACUCACAAUGAUAUGGACUCUGACCGCGAGAAUGAAUGCACCCCGGCAUAUGUUUAAAUAUAUAGAUCGGUUAGAUAUGGUUGAUAAUUUGUCAUGGGCGACAAUCAUCUACAAGGAAUUGUGGGAUUCUUUCAAGGCUGCGAAGAUAGCGAAGAAGGGGCAGACAUAUCUCAUCGGUUGCGCUCCCUUGCUAUCGCUAUGGUAUUAUGAGAUUUCAAACAUCAAAGAGCCGGUAAGGGUUGAUGAAUCCAAGCCACCAAUGAUAAAUUGGACAUUGGAGGGUAAGAAGGUGGGUUCGGUGCGGACUACAACGAUUUUGAAGAAAUCGGAAGCCGCAAUCCACAUCUUACCGGAGCAAGAUGUGGCGAGGUAUGUUCAUGAGGAAAUAAAGCAAAAGCUUACAAUGGUGAAGGCUAAAGUUGAGGAGGAAGUUACGGGUGAAAAAUCAUUAGGGAAGAAAAGAGUCCAAAAAGAGAAUGAAGCUUAUGAAAAGUUGGUGAUGUUGAAUGAAGCUUAUGAGCAAGUACUUGUUACUCACGGCGUUGAUAUUUUGGCUAUUAUAGUCGAAACUGAGAAAACAUUUGCUGAGGAGAAACAUAUCAGGCAAAACAAAGGAGAGCCACAAAUAGAGAAAGAAUGGGAGGCUGAGAAGGAAGAAGGGAAGGAAGAUGAGACAUUGAUUGAAGGUGAUCAAACCCAAGACAUGGACAUUAAACUGGAGGAGUGACAGGCUAAAGUUGAGGCAGAGAAAGAAGAAGGGAAAGAAGAGGAGGGAGGCAAAGAAGGUGAUCAAACCCAGGCCAUGGGCAGUGAACUGGAGGAGCUUUAAGAGGUAAAAGUUGCUGAGAAUGUUCCCAAAAAGAAGAAGGGAAGGAAGAGGAGGGAGGAAACCGAUGAUACUUUAAAAGCAUUUGUCAGUGGGCUACGGACAAAGAGCCAAAGGAAAACAAAGAAGCCCAAGUUCUUAGAAUCUCUCUUCCAAACUGAAUUGCCUAAGAAGGGAAGGAAAGGGAAGAAAGGUGUCGUUCUGGUGGAAGAUGACGACGACAAGGGGGAGAAGGAUGUGGAGAAGCCACUUGCAAUUUCACACAUCGGUAGGAGAACAUCUGUUGCAGAGCUAUGGAAAAGGGAAAAAAGUGAAGAGGAAAAAAAUUUAUUGGAGAUGUUGAAUAUGAGCAUUCCUUCUUCACAAGACUUUGAUGUUAGGCUAUCGGGAACAAUCGACGAAGGCUUUUACCAUAAUUUCACCGUUGAGGACAUUCCCGAUGCAUCGGAUGAUGAAAACAAGUGGCUUUAACAUUUUCUUACAUUAAAAGUUGACAAUCGGACAAUUUUUGAGGUUGAAGAUCAUACUAUAUGCAGAUAUGAUAUGCUACAUCUUUUACGUGGUGGAAGAUUAAAGGAUGAGAUUGUUGAAGCUCUGGUCGCAAGACUUCCAACAUGGCUCAAGCUGCCAGAAAAUGACCAUGUCGAAAGAAAAUACGCUAUUGUCAUGUUGUAUUUUAGUAUUUGGUUGCUAACUGCUUCAAAUUUGGAUGAGCGCAAUGUCUAUGAAAAUUACAUAAAGAAGCAUAUAGAUGAAGGGAAGGAUGUGU